This 213-nucleotide small nucleolar RNA is filed under the name Choloepus hoffmanni (Hoffmann's two-fingered sloth). Its description in RNAcentral is "Small nucleolar RNA U3 (ENSCHOG00000014422.1)". It matches the Rfam family "Small nucleolar RNA U3". From Rfam's summary of the family: Small nucleolar RNAs (snoRNAs) are involved in the processing and modification of rRNA in the nucleolus. The record is from RNAcentral. Lineage: Eukaryota; Metazoa; Chordata; Mammalia; Pilosa; Megalonychidae.
AAGACCAUACUUUCAGGAAUCAUUUCCACAGUUCAUUAGUAGAGAAGGUUCUCUGAAUGUGUAGGUAACUGGAAACCACGAGGAGGAACAGUGUUCUCUCCUGAGUGUGAAUUUGGCACUUGAUGUUGUUUUGCUACAGCUGUCAUUUGCCAUUGAUGAUCAUUCUUCUCUUCCUUUUUGGAGAGUAAGGGGGAGAGAAUGCAGUAUGAGUGG